GAUGAACGCUGGCGGCGUGCCUAAUACAUGCAAGUCGAGCGAACGGACGAGAAGCUUGCUUCUCUGAUGUUAGCGGCGGACGGGUGAGUAACACGUGGAUAACCUACCUAUAAGACUGGGAUAACUUCGGGAAACCGUAGCUAAUACCGGAUAAUAUUUUGAACCGCAUGGUUCAAAAGUGAAAGACGGUCUUGCUGUCACUUAUAGAUGGAUCCGCGCUGCAUUAGCUAGUUGGUAAGGUAACGGCUUACCAAGGCAACGAUGCGUAGCCGACCUGAGAGGGUGAUCGGCCACACUGGAACUGAGACACGGUCCAGACUCCUACGGGAGGCAGCAGUAGGGAAUAUUCCGCAAUGGGCGAAAGCCUGACGGAGCAACGCCGCGUGAGUGAUGAAGGUCUUCGGAUCGUAAAACUCUGUUAUUAGGGAAGAACAUAUGUGUAAGUAACUGUGCACAUCUUGACGGUACCUAAUCAGAAAGCAACGGCUAACUACGUG
This 497-nucleotide ribosomal RNA is filed under the name uncultured bacterium. RNAcentral's name for it is "partial 16S ribosomal RNA". It matches the Rfam family "Bacterial small subunit ribosomal RNA", at positions 28 to 507 of the family's 1533-position model. The record is from RNAcentral.